UAGGGAAUCUUCCGCAAUGGGCGAAAGCCUGACGGAGCAACGCCGCGUGAGUGAUGAAGGUCUUCGGAUCGUAAAACUCUGUUAGUAGGGAAGAACAAAUGUGUAAGUAACUAUGCACGUCUUGACGGUACCUAAUCAGAAAGCCACGGCUAACUACGUGCCAGCAGCCGCGGUAAUACGGAGGUGGCAAGCGUUAUCCGGAAUUAUUGGGCGUAAAGCGCGCGUAGGCGGUUUUUUAAGUCUGAUGUGAAAGCCCACGGCUCAACCGUGGAGGGUCAUUGGAAACUGGAAAACUUGAGUGCGGAAGAGGAGAGUGGAAUUCCAUGUGUAGCGGUGAAAUGCGCAGAGAUAUGGAGGAACACCAGUGGCGAAGGCGACUUUCUGGUCUGUAACUGACGCUGAUGUGCGAAAGCGUGGGGAUCAAACAGG
This 429-nucleotide ribosomal RNA is filed under the name Actinomycetes bacterium. RNAcentral's name for it is "Actinobacteria bacterium partial 16S ribosomal RNA". It matches the Rfam family "Bacterial small subunit ribosomal RNA", at positions 355 to 776 of the family's 1533-position model. Lineage: Bacteria; Bacillati; Actinomycetota; Actinomycetes. The record is from RNAcentral.